UGGGGAAUAUUGGACAAUGGGUGCAAGCCUGAUCCAGCAAUGCCGCGUGUGUGAAGAAGGCCUUCGGGUUGUAAAGCACUUUUAUCAGGAGCGAAACGCUGUCGGCUAAUACCCGGCGGAACUGACGGUACCUGAGGAAUAAGCACCGGCUAACUUCGUGCCAGCAGCCGCGGUAAUACGAAGGGUGCAAGCGUUAAUCGGAAUUACUGGGCGUAAAGCGUGCGUAGGCGGUGACUUAAGUCUGCUGUGAAAUCCCCGGGCUCAACCUGGGAAUGGCAGUGGAUACUGGGUCGCUAGAGUGUGAUAGAGGAUGGUGGAAUUCCCGGUGUAGCGGUGAAAUGCGUAGAGAUCGGGAGGAACAUCAGUGGUGAAGGCGGCCAUCUGGAUCAACACUGACGCUGAGGCACGAAAGCGUGGGGAGCAAACA
RNAcentral lists this ribosomal RNA (427 nucleotides) under uncultured bacterium. RNAcentral's name for it is "bacterial SSU rRNA". It matches the Rfam family "Bacterial small subunit ribosomal RNA", at positions 355 to 774 of the family's 1533-position model. The record is from RNAcentral.